RNAcentral lists this ribosomal RNA (432 nucleotides) under uncultured bacterium. RNAcentral describes it as "partial 16S ribosomal RNA". It matches the Rfam family "Bacterial small subunit ribosomal RNA", at positions 29 to 506 of the family's 1533-position model. The record is from RNAcentral.
AACGAACGCUGGCGGCAUGCCUAACACAUGCAAGUCGAACGAGACCUUCGGGUCUAGUGGCGCACGGGUGCGUAACGCGUGGGAACCUGCCCUUAGGUUCGGAAUAACUCCCCGAAAGGGGUGCUAAUACCGGAUAAUGUCUUCGGACCAAAGAUUUAUCGCCUUUGGAUGGGCCCGCGUUGGAUUAGCUAGUUGGUAGGGUAAAAGCCUACCAAGGCGACGAUCCAUAGCUGGUCUGAGAGGAUGAUCAGCCACACUGGGACUGAGACACGGCCCAGACUCCUACGGGAGGCAGCAGUGGGGAAUAUUGGACAAUGGGCGAAAGCAUGAUCCAGCAAUGCCGCGUGAGUGAUGAAGGCAUUAGGGUUGUAAAGCGCUUUUACCCGGGAUGAUAAUGACAGUACCGGGAGAAUAAGCGACGGCUAACUCCGU